This 4133-nucleotide long non-coding RNA is filed under the name Medicago truncatula (barrel medic). RNAcentral describes it as "long non-coding RNA (MTRU_LNC005798)". The record is from RNAcentral. Lineage: Eukaryota; Viridiplantae; Streptophyta; Magnoliopsida; Fabales; Fabaceae.
AGGAAGGAAAGAAUAGGUUCUAGUGCCACCGAUCUUACAUUUGGAGAUGAUAUUGAGGAAGAUAAACGAGAAUAAUGUCGCUCAGACUUGUAUAGUAGUGUUUCAUAUGACGUCACCUUUUACAAUAAGUCUGUAAAUAUCAUAUAUACAAAUGGUUUUGUAUGCGGAAUAUGUCAUUUAGUAAUGGGGAAACAGAGAGGCAGUGUCAUUUGAUCAAAAUCAUAAUUGCAGAUGAUAUGUACCACCACCACCACCACGUAAGAACAGUUGUCUAAAACAUUUUAACUGUUGUGAUAGAAUCAUCCCCCAGCUUAGUUUUAGAUGACUAUAAUCCUUUAUCUGUAUGCCUUUCGAUUUUCAUGCCCUUUUGUUUUGAGCUUUUCAUACCAUAUUUUCUGUAGGCCUUAUCUGUAAUUAGCAAUGAGUUUUAAAAUUACAGUUUUAAGUAAAGUAUAGUUAAUGUUAUUGGAAUACCGCAGAAAGCAAAAACGUUAUUUACUUGUGGCACAACCUUAUGUAAUGUUGGAAUAACAAUUGUCAUUAACCGACUAAAGGUUACUUUGGUUCCUAAAGUAAAAAAUCAAUAUUUUCCCAAAUUGAAUCUCAAAAGGAAAAUGAAUGGUUGCUAAGGUGGCAGGCAGUGGCACGAUGAUGAAUCAGGCUGCGGUUAUGGUGCAUAGAAAUUCUUAUGCACCCUGCAUAAAUUCAGAAAUGAUUUCUGUGAGUUGUACUCUAAAAUUAUUAGAUUUAUGUGAGUUUACUUCAAAAUCAUUUGUGAAUUUAUGGAGGGUGCGUAAGAAUUUCCUUAUGCAUCAUAACCACAUUCGAUGAAUCACACUUACUUACUUACUACCAACUCUCACUGUGAAGUACUCAUUGUUCGUUAAUCACGAUGAUCAUCAUCAAAUUUCAGAUUCUCAGCUUUUUCAUCUACCUCUUGUUUCUUCUUCUUUUUCUACCAAACAAUGUUCACGCUUCAAUCCAUUACUACUCCAAACAACCCUUCACUCACCGCUCCAAUGCUUUCUUCUUCCAUGCCGGCGCUGAAGCUCUAUUCUCCUCUUCCUUCAUCCGCUUCGAAUCCAUCUCCUUCACUCGCCCCAAACACUCCGCCAUCAUCCACGGCCAAAUGCAGCAGAACACCGGUCUCAUCGAAUCCAUCAUUCUCGAAGUCAAAGACCGUAACCGUAUCGGUGGUUUUUAUUUCAAUCCCAAAUCUGAUUUAAUUUGCUGCGACCCAUUUCUCUCUAAAACCCAAAAUUGUAAUCUUGGCGAAGUUAUCAUUCAUAACAACCCCCAAAAUCCUAACUUUCCCAAAAGGCUCAAAACUUUUUUUCAAGGUACUAAUCAAAUUGCUCAUAUGGAUCCUCAAACUGUUCAAAUUAAUGCUACUGGGAUUUAUUAUUUGUAUUUUAUGUUUUGUGAUCCUAAUCUGGAAGGUACCACUUUUACUGGUAGAACUGUUUGGAGAAACCCUAAUGGUUAUCUUCCUGGAAAAAUGCAACCUUUCAUCACCCUUUAUGCUUUUAUGUCUUUGGCUUAUCUUUUACUUGGUUUGGCAUGGUUUUUGAGAUUUCUUCACUUUUGGAAAGAGAAGGAUGUUGUUCAUGUUCAUCUUCAUUAUCAUAUUACUGCCGUCAUUGCGCUUGGAAUGGUUGAGAUGGCAUUUUGGUAUUUUGAGUAUGCUAAUUUUAAUGCUACUGGUAGUAGGCCUAUGGGAAUUACUAUAUGGGCUGUUACUUUUACUUCUGUUAAGAAGACGCUUUCCAGGUUGCUUUUGUUGGUUGUGUCUAUGGGAUAUGGUGUUGUUAGGCCAACGCUCUUUGAGGGUUUUGUAUCUAGAGUUACGGUUCUUGGGGGGUUCUAUUUUGUUGCAUGUGAAGUGUUUGAGCUUUUUGAGCAUUUGGGAAACAUCAAUGACUUUUCUGGGAAAUCUAAACUGUUGUUGGUGCUACCUGUUGUUUGCCUUGACUCAUGCUUCAUUCUAUGGAUCUUCUCUUCCUUGUCUAAAACCUUGGAGAAACUGCAGGCAAUUAUCUAACUUUUAUGAUUGUAGUAAAUUAUAACCACUGCCUCUAAUUUAUGUUGGGUUAUGUGUUUUUAAUCACAUUGUGGGAGUAUAGUCCUAAAUAUUGAUUGUAGUAAAUCUGCAUUAGUCCUUUAUGCUAGAAUGGCUAGACCGAACUCCCAUGGUCGCGUUGGUGACAUUUAAUGAGAAUCUAUUUUUUUAUAAGUGAUAUUGUAAAAUAGUAAUUUUUCAUUAGAUAUCAACUGAUUUUUCAUUAGAUAUUAACUCCUAUGUAAUCUUGUAUUUAGAUGGGUUCCAACCCCUGUUGGGGAUAGGUAGGACAGGUUUACUUAUUAAGGUUUGUGGUUUUUAUAAAUGUGGAAUAUGGCCUUUUUGUGACCUUGUAGAAGAUAUGUGAGUUAGGCUUAUCAUUUCUGCAUAUUCUUAUUUUCUAUUUGUUGUUUAUUUGGAUGUAGACAAGGAGAAACUUGGCUAAACUGGAGAUCUACCGAAAAUUUACAAAUACCCUUGCAGUGUCUGUGCUACUGUCCAUUGCAUGGAUUGGCUUUGAGGUAAUUCUUACAAAAUAUAUUUGAUGUAUUAGAAUAAACAAUUUUAGAGCUGCAAAUCAUAUGUGCUCUCCCCUGAGAAGUAUCCAAGCAUUUUUUUCAGAAAAACUAAAAUAAAUUUGAGAUAAUAUUGCUAACAAUAAUUUGUUACUGUGAUCAACCAGCUGUACUUCAAUGCAACUGAUCCUUUAAGCGAGCUGUGGCAAAUUGCUUGGAUUAUUCCCACUUUCUGGUGCCUGCUAUCAUAUACUCUAUUGCUGGUGAUAUGUGUUCUUUGGGCUCCUUCUCGUAACCCUACUAGGUAUGUCCUUUAUGGGGUCUUCAUGAAUGGUGUUAUUAAGAGGGUUACAUGUCUGUUUAAUGCUAAUCAUAUAUGAAACUUUAUUUAGAAUGUCCAUCCAUUGCUAGUUAUGUUAGUUGUUGUAAAUUGUAACAGAAAAUGAUGUUUUGGAUCUACCUUGUGCUAAUGUAAUUUUUUCAUCAUUUCGUUGCGAACUUGCAAUUUAUGCUGCACACUUUGGUGGUUAUCGGUCUUGUGUGUUUUGUAAACUUUUAGAUGAACUAGUUUUGUAAACUCUUAGAUGAACUAGGAUAGGUUUCUUUUAACUUGUAGAUAAAAAUGCUAGUUUUCAUUUGAUAUCUUUAUACCUUUCUUGCCAAGGCAAUUAUUGCUACUUCUUGCACACUGCUACAUAUGCCAUGAUGGGUUUCUAUUGUAUUUAAUGAUCAAUAAUAGGUUUAUUACUAGGGAAGCAGGGAUUAAUGCAUACUCCUUUUGACCAAAUGCCUUAUUUUCUAGAUAGAUAACACAUCCUGCCACUUUUCAGUCCAAUUGUCAACAAAUACCGUUUACAAAAUUUCUCUGCCUAUACAUGUUGUUUGUGAAGAACUUUAGGUCAUCUGAUCAAUGAAAGUGAUGAAAAAUCUUUGAUUGUUGUUAUACUAGUCUCUAGCCUUAUGGUGAAUUUUGAGAAGAUUUAGAUUAGGUAUUUAUUGCCAAUUUAACCCAAAAGUGGCAUGGAAAAACACAGGACUCCUGAGAAGUUGCAUUAGUAACUCAAUAAUCUGUUUUUACCUCCAUCAUUUGAUUCAUUUCACUUUCUCUCUAAUUCUCCUGAUUCACGGGAACUAAAUGUUAUCCCACCUUUUUUGUUUUUGCUGGUGUCUACGUCGAAAGACUGAUUGCAUUUGUAUAUUUUAUUUCUAGAUAUGCAUACCUAGAGGGAACAAAUGACUUUGACGAGGAGGGUAUCUCUCUAACAAGCAGUGUAGCAAAGAUGACUGGAGAUGUGGCAUCCAAGCUUGAGCGGAAGGAAAGAAUAGGUUCUAGUGCCACCGAUCUUACAUUUGGAGAUGAUAUUGAGGAAGAUAAACGAGAAUAAUGUCGCUCAGACUUGUAUAGUAGUGUUUCAUAUGACGUCACCUUUUACAAGAAGUCUGUAAAUAUCAUAUAUACAAAUGGUUUUGUAUGCGGAAUAUGUCAUUUAGUAAUGGGGAAACAGAGAGGCAGUGUCAUUUGAUCAAAAUCAUAAUUGCAGAUGAUAUGUACCACCACC